GGCAUUUUGGGAUGUGCUUAGAACUUAUUAUGAUUUUUUUCCAUUAAAAAUAAUGAAAUAUAGGCUCCUGCUAUCUGGAAAUUUGCUAUCACUCUUUUUAGGAAUGAAAAAGUUUUGGCUAAUAAGAGAUGUCUAUACUUUCAUUAUCAAAAAUAUACAGAUGAAGAAGCAGAUCUCCAUUUCUGGAAGUACUCACUGCAGAGACAAAUGGAAAUGAGUCCACUCUAGGAAGAAGAAUAACUGGAAGCUUGAGCUGUGUAAAUGUGACUUGGAAAUGUGACUUCAGGAGAAAGAACCAGGUUUGACACUGUGGGCUAAUCUUAAACAGGGACAGUAAUUGGAGCAGAAUGGCCACAAAUGAGCCG
This is a long non-coding RNA of Pan paniscus (pygmy chimpanzee), 365 nucleotides long. The record is from Ensembl. NCBI's taxonomy places the organism in Eukaryota, Metazoa, Chordata, Mammalia, Primates, Hominidae.